Molecule: ribosomal RNA, 253 nt
Filed under: uncultured bacterium
Lineage: Bacteria
Description: partial 16S ribosomal RNA
Rfam family: Bacterial small subunit ribosomal RNA
Source: RNAcentral
UACGGGGGGAGCAAACGUUGUUCGGAAUCACUGGGCGUAAAGGGCGCGUAGGCGGCGUGACAAGUCACUUGUGAAAUCUCUGAGCUUAACUCAGAACGGCCAAGUGAAACUGUCGUGCUAGAGUGCAGAAGGGGCAAUCGGAAUUCUUGGUGUAGCGGUGAAAUGCGUAGAUAUCAAGAGGAACACCUGAGGUGAAGACGGGUUGCUGGGCUGACACUGACGCUGAUGCGCGAAAGCCAGGGGAGCAAACGGG